AGUGGCGGACGGGUGAGUAACGCGUGAGAAUCUACCUUCAGGACGGGGACAUCAGCUGGAAACGGCUGCUAAUACCCGAUAUGCCGAAAGGUGAAAAGUUUUUUCGCCUGGAGAGGAGCUCGCGUCCGAUUAGCUAGUUGGUGAGGUAAAAGCUUACCAAGGCGACGAUCGGUAGCUGGUCUGAGAGGAUGAGCAGCCACACUGGAACUGAGACACGGUCCAGACUCCUACGGGAGGCAGCAGUGGGGAAUUUUCCGCAAUGGGCGAAAGCCUGACGGAGCAACGCCGCGUGGGGGAAGAAGGUUUUUGGAUUGUAAACCCCUUUUCUCAAGGAAGAACAAAAUGACGGUACUUGAGGAAUCAGCCUCGGCUAACUCCGUGCCAGCAGCCGCGGUAAUACGGAGGAGGCAAGCGUUAUCCGGAAUUAUUGGGCGUAAAGCGUUCGUAGGCGGCUGUUCAAGUCUGCUGUCAAAGACCGAGGCUCAACCUCGGGUAGGCAGUGGAAACUGGAUAGCUAGAGGUCGGUAGGGGCAGAGGGAAUUCCCAGUGUAGCGGUGAAAUGCGUAGAUAUUGGGAAGAACACCGGUGGCGAAAGCGCUCUGCUGGGCCGAACCUGACGCUGAGGGACGAAAGCUAGGGGAGCGAAUGGGAUUAGAUACCCC
RNAcentral lists this ribosomal RNA (662 nucleotides) under uncultured bacterium. RNAcentral's name for it is "bacterial SSU rRNA". It matches the Rfam family "Bacterial small subunit ribosomal RNA", at positions 94 to 788 of the family's 1533-position model. The record is from RNAcentral.